CAGGCUGUUGCUGACUGGGUGACAGACACGUAACAGAGAGGAGACAUGAACGCUGUGGUGGGACUGCUGGUGCUGCUGGUCAGAGUUUCUCAUGGUGUGGAAACUCACUGUGAUGGCAGACAGGAUGGAGCUCAGUGUUAUGGAGCUUUGGGAGGAACUGUGGACAUCCAGCUGAUGAACAGCACCUCAGAAAUUUAUAGAACAUUUAGGAUCAAUAACCUGAAAAGGAAUGACAGUGGUGAUUAUACCCUUCAAACCUUUGAUUCAGAUGGAGGAGUAUCAGACGUGUGGACUUUACAGUUGUUUAUUCAAGCUCCUGUGUCCUCUGUCCUGCUGGUGUCUGAGUGUCUGUCCCUGGGAGAGAUGAGGGUGUCCUGCUCCUCUGAGGGAGGGGACAGUCCUCAGUACAGCUGGACUCUG
Molecule: long non-coding RNA, 420 nt
Organism: Oreochromis aureus
Lineage: Eukaryota; Metazoa; Chordata; Actinopteri; Cichliformes; Cichlidae
Source: Ensembl